This 301-nucleotide ribosomal RNA is filed under the name uncultured bacterium. RNAcentral describes it as "partial 16S ribosomal RNA". It matches the Rfam family "Bacterial small subunit ribosomal RNA", at positions 509 to 808 of the family's 1533-position model. The record is from RNAcentral.
CAGCCGCCGCGGUAAUACAGAGGGUGCGAGCGUUAAUCGGAUUUACUGGGCGUAAAGCGUGCGUAGGCGGCUUCUUAAGUCGGAUGUGAAAUCCCUGAGCUUAACUUAGGAAUUGCAUUCGAUACUGGGAAGCUAGAGUAUGGGAGAGGAUGGUAGAAUUCCAGGUGUAGCGGUGAAAUGCGUAGAGAUCUGGAGGAAUACCGAUGGCGAAGGCAGCCAUCUGGCCUAAUACUGACGCUGAGGUACGAAAGCAUGGGGAGCAAACAGGAUUAGAUACCCCGUAGUCCCUGUCUCUUAUACA